RNAcentral lists this ribosomal RNA (297 nucleotides) under Triticum aestivum (bread wheat). Its description in RNAcentral is "partial small subunit ribosomal RNA". Lineage: Eukaryota; Viridiplantae; Streptophyta; Magnoliopsida; Poales; Poaceae. The record is from RNAcentral.
AUGGUUCAUAAUGGUGUCCAACCACAUGUUAGGAUAUAUAAUACCCUGAUCCAUGGAUUUUUAACUUCGGGUCAGCUGAAAGAAGCCUUUAGGUUGUUGAAAGUAAUGAGAAGCCGAGGUAGUAUGCCAAACGUUGUUACUUGCAGCUCAGUCAUGGACUACCUUUGCAAGCAUGGAAGAAUCAAAGAAGCUAAGGAAAUAUUUUAUUCCAUGGCCGUGAAUGGCCAAAAACGAGAUACAAUCUCAUACUCUAUUAUGCUCCAUGGGUACGCUAUAGAAGGAUCCCUUGACACAAAU